UUUCAACCUAUUUAUUUUCCAGCCAGCUACAAUUUACAUGCUCGACGUUACAUGUCUGGGCUCCUGAAUUUAUUAUCUACUUCAAGCAGAGG
Long non-coding RNA from Monopterus albus (swamp eel), 92 nucleotides. RefSeq lists it as uncharacterized. NCBI's taxonomy places the organism in Eukaryota, Metazoa, Chordata, Actinopteri, Synbranchiformes, Synbranchidae. The transcript has 2 exons. The record is from RefSeq and is a predicted model, not a curated record.